This 468-nucleotide ribosomal RNA is filed under the name uncultured bacterium. Its description in RNAcentral is "partial 16S ribosomal RNA". It matches the Rfam family "Bacterial small subunit ribosomal RNA", at positions 28 to 507 of the family's 1533-position model. The record is from RNAcentral.
GACGAACGCUGGCGGCGUGCUUAACACAUGCAAGUCGAACGGUGAAGCUCCAGCUUGCUGGAGUGGAUCAGUGGCGAACGGGUGAGUAACACGUGAGCAACCUGCCCCUGACUCUGGAAUAAGCGCUGGAAACGGCGUCUAAUACUGGAUACGAGAAGGGUCCGCAUGGGCACUUUCUGGAAAGUUUUUCGGUUGGGGAUGGGCUCGCGGCCUAUCAGCUUGUUGGUGAGGUAAUGGCUCACCAAGGCGACGACGGGUAGCCGGCCUGAGAGGGCGACCGGCCACACUGGGACUGAGACACGGCCCAGACUCCUACGGGAGGCAGCAGUGGGGAAUAUUGCACAAUGGGCGAAAGCCUGAUGCAGCGACGCCGCGUGAGGGAUGACGGCCUUCGGGUUGUAAACCUCUUUCAGCAGGGAAGAAGCGAAAGUGACGGUACCUGCAGAAGAAGCAUCGGCUAACUACGUG